Long non-coding RNA from Puntigrus tetrazona (Sumatra barb), 280 nucleotides. RefSeq lists it as uncharacterized. The record is from RefSeq and is a predicted model, not a curated record. The transcript has 3 exons. Lineage: Eukaryota; Metazoa; Chordata; Actinopteri; Cypriniformes; Cyprinidae.
GUAGAAAGGAAUUGAUAGAGACUGAGCCUGCUGUGAGGGACACAGCUGAAAGGAGAGUCUUCACAGAGAGUCAAGUGACUUUUAUUUUGUAUUUUGGCAGAGUUCAGUCAAAUAUCAGGCAAAAACCUGCAAACCGAAUUCUUUCAGGAACCGGACAGAUUCACAGACCGUUUCAUUGAUAUUUCACAGAUUGAUAAAUCUGACAUCAAUGGCCGACGAACAGCUGUCCUCUAUCUCCUCUACCUUCCACUUCUCCUUGGAGAGAAGCCCACCGAGUUUU